GGGCGCGUAGCUCAGGUGGUAGAGCACCACCCUUUUAAGGUGGCUGUCGAAGGUUCGAAUCCUUCCGCGCUCA
RNAcentral lists this transfer RNA (73 nucleotides) under Candidatus Omnitrophota bacterium. Its description in RNAcentral is "Candidatus Omnitrophica bacterium tRNA-Lys". It matches the Rfam family "tRNA". Rfam says of the family: Transfer RNA (tRNA) molecules are approximately 80 nucleotides in length. Their secondary structure includes four short double-helical elements and three loops (D, anti-codon, and T loops). Lineage: Bacteria; Pseudomonadati; Candidatus Omnitrophota. The record is from RNAcentral.